UUUGAUCCUGGCUCAGAUUGAACGCUGGCGGCAGGCCUAACACAUGCAAGUCGAGCGGCAGCACGGGAAGCUUGCUUCCUGGUGGCGAGCGGCGGACGGGUGAGUAAUGCAUAGGAAUCUGCCCGGUAGUGGGGGAUAACCUGGGGAAACCCAGGCUAAUACCGCAUACGUCCUACGGGAGAAAGCAGGGGCUCUUCGGACCUUGCGCUAUCGGAUGAGUCUAUGUCGGAUUAGCUGGUUGGUGAGGUAAUGGCUCACCAAGGCGACGAUCCGUAGCUGGUCUGAGAGGAUGAUCAGCCACAUCGGGACUGAGACACGGCCCGAACUCCUACGGGAGGCAGCAGUGGGGAAUAUUGGACAAUGGGCGCAAGCCUGAUCCAGCCAUGCCGCGUGUGUGAAGAAGGCCCUCGGGUUGUAAAGCACUUUCAGUGGGGAAGAAAGCCUGGUGGUUAAUACCCGUCAGGAAGGACAUCACCCACAGAAGAAGCACCGGCUAACUCCGUGCCAGCAGCCGCGGUAAUACGGAGGGUGCGAGCGUUAAUCGGAAUUACUGGGCGUAAAGCGCGCGUAGGUGGCUUGAUAAGCCGGUUGUGAAAGCCCCGGGCUCAACCUGGGAACGGCAUCCGGAACUGUCAGGCUAGAGUGCAGGAGAGGAAGGUAGAAUUCCCRGUGUAGCGGUGAAAUGCGUAGAGAUCGGGAGGAAUACCAGUGGCGAAGGCGGCCUUCUGGACUGACACUGACACUGAGGUGCGAAAGCGUGGGUAGCAAACAGGAUUAGAUACCCUGGUAGUCCACGCCGUAAACGAUGUCGACUAGCCGUUGGGUCCUUCGCGGACUUUGUGGCGCAGUUAACGCGAUAAGUCGACCGCCUGGGGAGUACG
RNAcentral lists this ribosomal RNA (881 nucleotides) under uncultured Halomonas sp. RNAcentral's name for it is "bacterial SSU rRNA". It matches the Rfam family "Bacterial small subunit ribosomal RNA", at positions 12 to 884 of the family's 1533-position model. The record is from RNAcentral. Lineage: Bacteria; Pseudomonadati; Pseudomonadota; Gammaproteobacteria; Oceanospirillales; Halomonadaceae.